CGGACGGGUGAGUAAUGUCUGGGAAACUGCCCGAUGGAGGGGGAUAACUACUGGAAACAGUAGCUAAUACCGCAUAACGUCGCAAGACCAAAGAGGGGGACCUUAGGGCCUCUUGCCAUCGGAUGUGCCCAGAUGGGAUUAGCUAGUAGGUGGGGUAACGGCUCACCUAGGCGACGAUCCCUAGCUGGUCUGAGAGGAUGACCAGCCACACUGGAACUGAGACACGGUCCAG
This 232-nucleotide ribosomal RNA is filed under the name uncultured bacterium. RNAcentral describes it as "partial 16S ribosomal RNA". It matches the Rfam family "Bacterial small subunit ribosomal RNA", at positions 99 to 334 of the family's 1533-position model. The record is from RNAcentral.